RNAcentral lists this transfer RNA (76 nucleotides) under Deltaproteobacteria bacterium. Its description in RNAcentral is "tRNA-Glu". It matches the Rfam family "tRNA". Rfam says of the family: Transfer RNA (tRNA) molecules are approximately 80 nucleotides in length. Their secondary structure includes four short double-helical elements and three loops (D, anti-codon, and T loops). Further hydrogen bonds mediate the characteristic L-shaped molecular structure. tRNAs have two regions of fundamental functional importance: the anti-codon, which is responsible for specific mRNA codon recognition, and the 3' end, to which the tRNAs corresponding amino acid is attached (by aminoacyl-tRNA synthetases). tRNAs cope with the degeneracy of the genetic code in two manners: having more than one tRNA (with a specific anti-codon) for a particular amino acid; and 'wobble' base-pairing, i.e. permitting non-standard base-pairing at the 3rd anti-codon position. Lineage: Bacteria; Pseudomonadati; Myxococcota; Myxococcia. The record is from RNAcentral.
GUCCCCGUCGUCUAGAGGCCUAGGACAUCGCCCUUUCACGGCGGUAACACGGGUUCGACUCCCGUCGGGGACGCCA